GACAGAGGGUGCAAACGUUGUUCGGAAUUACUGGGCGUAAAGCGCGUGUAGGCGGCUGUGCAAGUCGGACGUGAAAUCCCGUGGCUCAACCACGGAAGUGCACCCGAAACUGCGCAGCUGGAGUCUCGGAGAGGAAGGUGGAAUGCUUGGUGUAGAGGUGAAAUUCGUAGAUAUCAAGCGGAACACCGGUGGCGAAGGCGGCCUUCUGGACGAUGACUGACGCUGAGACGCGAAAGCGUGGGGAGCAAACAGG
This 253-nucleotide ribosomal RNA is filed under the name uncultured bacterium. Its description in RNAcentral is "partial 16S ribosomal RNA". It matches the Rfam family "Bacterial small subunit ribosomal RNA", at positions 524 to 776 of the family's 1533-position model. The record is from RNAcentral.